This 197-nucleotide ribosomal RNA is filed under the name uncultured bacterium KC423. RNAcentral describes it as "partial 16S rRNA". It matches the Rfam family "Bacterial small subunit ribosomal RNA", at positions 267 to 480 of the family's 1533-position model. The record is from RNAcentral. Lineage: Bacteria; Pseudomonadati; Pseudomonadota; Alphaproteobacteria.
ACCAAGUCUACGAUCUAUAGCUGGUUUUAGAGGAUGAUCAGCAACACUGGGACUGAGACACGGCCCAGACUCCUACGGGAGGCAGCAGUGGGGAAUCUUAGACAAUGGGCGCAAGCCUGAUCUAGCCAUGCCGCGUGUGUGAUGAAGGUCUUAGGAUCGUAAAGCACUUUUCGCCAGGGAUGAUAAUGACAGUACCU